Molecule: ribosomal RNA, 685 nt
Filed under: Capromys pilorides (Desmarest's hutia)
Lineage: Eukaryota; Metazoa; Chordata; Mammalia; Rodentia; Capromyidae
Description: partial 12S ribosomal RNA
Rfam family: Bacterial small subunit ribosomal RNA
Source: RNAcentral
CCACGGGAUACAGCAGUAAUUAAAAUUAAGCAAUAAACGAAAGUUUGACUAAGUUAUGCAACAUUAUAUAGGGUUGGUAAAUUUCGUGCCAGCCACCGCGGUCAUACGAUUAACCCUAAUUAAUAAAGCCCGGCGUAAAGAGUGUUAAAACUACAAAAACAAUAAGAUUAAAUUUUACCUAAGUCGUAAAAAACAACAGAUAAAAAUAAAAUCAUAAACGAAAGUAAUCUUAAUAGAUCUGAAUACACUAAAGCUAAGACCCAAACUGGGAUUAGAUACCCCACUAUGCUUAGCCAUAAACAAAGAUAUUUAAUAACAAAAAUUUUCGCCAGAGUACUACUAGCAACAGCUUAAAACUCAAAGGACUUGGCGGUGCUUUAAACCCACCUAGAGGAGCCUGUUCUAUAAUCGAUAAACCCCGAUAUACCUUACCACUUCUUGCUAAUCCAGUCUAUAUACCGCCAUCUCCAGCAAACCCCAACAGGGAUUAAAAGUAAGCACAACUAUACUCGUAAAAACGUUAGGUCAAGGUGUAACUAAUGAAGUGGAAAGCAAUGGGCUACAUUUUCUUCUUCCAAGAAAACAACAACAGUAAUCUUUAUGAAAUUAAAGAUUUAAGGAGGAUUUAGUAGUAAAUUAAGAAUAGAGAGCUUAAUUGAAUUAGGCAAUAAAGCACGCACACACC